UUCAACGGCGGGCCGGGCGGGGCAGCCGUAUGGCUGGCCGGUUUUUCGCUGAACCUCCGGUAUUGCUACCCCCGCUGUCAGGCCCGCCACCCUU
Molecule: non-coding RNA, 94 nt
Filed under: Cupriavidus oxalaticus
Lineage: Bacteria; Pseudomonadati; Pseudomonadota; Betaproteobacteria; Burkholderiales; Burkholderiaceae
Source: RNAcentral